AGGGAUCAUUACUGAGUUUACGCUCUAUAACCCUUUGUGAACAUACCUAUAACUGUUGCUUCGGCGGGUAGGGUCUCCGCGACCCUCCCGGCCUCCCGCCUCCGGGCGGGUCGGCGCCCGCCGGAGGAUAACCAAACUCUGAUUUAACGACGUUUCUUCUGAGUGGUACAAGCAAAUAAUCAAAACUUUUAACAACGGAUCUCUUGGUUCUGGCAUCGAUGAAGAACGCAGCGAAAUGCGAUAAGUAAUGUGAAUUGCAGAAUUCAGUGAAUCAUCGAAUCUUUGAACGCACAUUGCGCCCGCCAGCAUUCUGGCGGGCAUGCCUGUUCGAGCGUCAUUUCAACCCUCAAGCUCUGCUUGGUGUUGGGGCCCUACAGCUGAUGUAGGCCCUCAAAGGUAGUGGCGGACCCUCCCGGAGCCUCCUUUGCGUAGUAACUUUACGUCUCGCACUGGGAUCCGGAGGGACUCUUGCCGUAAAACCCCCCAAUUUUCCAAAGGUUGACCUCGGAUCAGGUAGGAAUACCCGCUGAACUUAA
Molecule: ribosomal RNA, 536 nt
Filed under: Colletotrichum gloeosporioides
Lineage: Eukaryota; Fungi; Ascomycota; Sordariomycetes; Glomerellales; Glomerellaceae
Description: eukaryotic LSU rRNA
Rfam family: 5.8S ribosomal RNA (bases 184-337)
Source: RNAcentral